Long non-coding RNA from Mastomys coucha (southern multimammate mouse), 731 nucleotides. RefSeq lists it as uncharacterized. The transcript has 3 exons. NCBI's taxonomy places the organism in Eukaryota, Metazoa, Chordata, Mammalia, Rodentia, Muridae. The record is from RefSeq and is a predicted model, not a curated record.
GGCCGAUCUCACAGGUCCCCACCCCUAGCUGAAGAGCCACAGGCAGUAGAUGGCUGCUGACAGAGGGCUAAUCUGUUUCUCCUAGGAUGAGCUCCCUGAUCAGGUGGUAUCAUCUCCACUGCACUUUGAUAUCAGUGUAGGUCAUCAGCAAACCAAUACACCCAGCAGUUGUGGGAAAAAGAACUACAGAACAUCUGAUGUGUCCCCCGCAGGGAGAACAUCUAUCUGCUCAUGGGCCUACAUACCCCACCCUCGAGGAGGAGGACUGUGGUGGCUGGGCCUGUGGGAUUCCCCACCACCUCGCCCAGCAGCUGACACCUGCAGACACUUAUGGACUCUUGUAAACAUUGGUUGAAAGGAUUGAUGGAUGGCAGAGAGCUUGGCUCUACCUUCUGGAUGAGUCUGGACCAUUUCUUCUCCGACGAGCAGAAAGAGGUGGAGAAGACAGAACACGGCUAUAAAAUACCACCAGGGUUACCCGGGACCUAAAUCUGCUCUUGGGAGUGCCUGUACACGUGUUUUGUAGUACAGUACGAUAAAAGGAGCACUAGUCCCACCCUUCUGAACACCCAUCUAGAGGCAUACUGCAGGGAGACACCCAGCAAGCAGGGUGCAUCAGCUGGGUGCAUGUAAAAUCUGUUUGUUUGUUUGUUUUCCAUCCCAACAACUUAAUUCCCAGCAAUAACAACUCUGAGACUGAUUAAUAAACUAAUAAAUGCUUAGGUCAUAAA